Hemiscyllium ocellatum (epaulette shark) is the source of this 1245-nucleotide non-coding RNA. NCBI's taxonomy places the organism in Eukaryota, Metazoa, Chordata, Chondrichthyes, Orectolobiformes, Hemiscylliidae. The record is from the annotation of a RefSeq genome assembly.
UAAUGGACACACAGUCCCACAGCCUGAACUGACACAUCCACAAUUAGAUACAAAUGAAACUGAACAAAUUACCCCAUGCUGGGAUUGUAACUGUCCAUGACACACUCCAGUCCCUGUGGUGUCCACCGCUCACUGAAGGCCUCAAGUUUCCCUCUGACACUCCAUGACCACGCGUGAAGAACAGCUGCAAGAUUUAAUAUCGAAAAAUAAAUUUCACAAAGCUCCCAAGCCCAGCUGGACACAGAGAGAGAUGGAGACAGAAAGACACAUGAAUGAGGGAGAGACAGAGAGGGGCAGAAAGAAGUUGAGAGUGAACGAGAGACUGGGAGACAGGGAGAGGUUGAGAGUGAUGGGGGGGAAGCAGAGAGCAGAGGUUUUUGUACAGCCUCUGCACUGGGAACUCUCACUGUGGGACACGUUCGGUAAAGGAACCAAGCUCAGACUGAGCCGUGAGAACUCUCAGCCCAAGCUGACCUUGCUGCCCCCCUCCCCGGAGCAGGUCAAUGCCAAGGGCACUGCCACCCUGGUGUGCCUUGCCAAUCACUUCUAUCCCGAUGAGCUGGAGGUGCAGUGGAAGAAGGACGGUGCAGUCAUUUCGGACGGGGUUCAGACCAGCAACUACCUGCGAGCUUCAGACAGCACCUACAGUGUCAGCAGCCUGCUGACCCUCUCUGGGUCUGACUGGGAGUCCGACGCUCGCUUCUCCUGUGCCCUCACCCACGUGACCCUCCCCUCUCCCCUCAGCAAGAGCAUCAGGAGAUCAGAAUGUGUGUAGAGUGUUGGAGACAGUCCACAGAGGAGACACAACUUUAAACAGAACAGGGCUGAGCUGGCAGGACAAAGGUCAUUGUCAGCACUGAAUUUCAACUCUCUUCCUUCUCAGGAUUGCUCAGAGAAACUUCUGAGGUUUGGAUAUUAAAGCAGGUCAUCGCGACAGUGUCAAGAGAGCUUUACACUGUGUCAAACCCCAUACUGUCCUUGUCCUGGGAAUGUUUGAUGGGGACAGGAUUGCCUUGUUAUGUUAGCUGCACAAAACAAUGUGAACCUCAGAAGUCUCUGCUUCAGUAAACCAGAUCUCCUUCCUGCUCAGCUGCCAGUUCCAGUUUAAGGUUUUGUCACUGUUUAAAGGGGCAGGAUUCUCGUGUUAUUGAGAAAAUCUCUCCAAGUGUUUUCCUCAAUCUCCAUUGGGGCUAUGAAUUUGAGCAGCUUCCUCUGUCUUGGCUGUUAAUUGCAGUUGUUUCUUUU